CUUUAAUCAGCAAACGUCUCUUUCGCUGACCCGGAAAAACACAGAGCGCUGAGCAUCCGCGUAUUCCGAUAAAAACGAAACUUUAACAUUGGCUUUAAAAAAAUAUGUCGCUCUCCUUCGCACACUUCGCCUGCCUCUUGCCGUUUCUGCCGUUUACACAGGCAGCUUUGACUGUUACAGUUCCCGAAGGCCCAAUUCAAGGCAAACCAGGUUCUGAUGUCCUGCUGCCUUGUAAUUUUGAAGACUCUUCUGGGCCCAUACGUCCACAAAGCCUAACGGUGACAUGGCGUGUGGGUUCAAGAGACAUUGCUAAUUUUGAAGAUGAGUUGGAAAUCUUUCAGCCAGGGGUAAAGAUGUCUGCUACGGAAGUGCUACGGGGCAACGCCAGCAUUCUGCUUCCAAAUGUGCAGGACGCAGAUGGAAAGAAUUACACUUGCUCUGUUCUCCACAGCCCUGACAAGGAAGAGAAGACAAUAGAGUUGAGAGUGGAAGCUCCCCCACUUGUUAAACUUGGCUCUACAAAAGUGCAGUUGAGCAAGCUAAACAUGAUUGCAUGUACAGCAACAGAUUUCUAUCCUGGCAAUAUAUCCAUGACGUGGUUCCGAAAUGAUAAGAUUGUGCAAGGCCCCGAACGGCCUCCUGUUCAGCCCAGCACCGGCCAAUUGUUCAGAGCAGAAAGUCUCCUGAAGCUCGUACCAGAAUUUUCGGAUGCCAAAGCCAACUUCUCUUGCCAUAUCAAUCACCAAGCAUUCAAAGGGCCAGAGGCACCACAAUUCCAACUGAGCUUGCAAGCUCGGCCCAACCUUCAGCUGAUCACAAGGCCUCAAGGGGAAAAAUUUGUUGCGGCCCUGUGCAAUGUGAGCGAAUUUUAUCCCUCUCAUAUCAACAUUCAGUGGUUGAAAAAUGGAGAGCCACAAGAGCAAGUAAAGUCAGAGGUGUACCGCAUGCACAAUGGGAUGUUUUACAUCAACAGUGUCUUCUUCCCACAGAAGAGUGAUGUUGAAGUCACCUAUGCUUGUCGAGUAGAACACGAAGCUUUGGAAACCUCAUUGGAAAAGUCUGUCCUUUGGCGACCAGAAGUUACUCCUACGAUUCCAACUGCAGUGCCUCUUUGGCUGGUGUGUUUGGCUGGACUCGGUUCUGGAUUGAUACUAGGAGCAGGAAUAACAAUAUGUAUAUAUAAAGCCAAGAAUAACUCAGUUAUGGGUACAUCCGAUGAGAAAAAGCAUCUUCAAAAGAAAGAUGAGGAGAAACUACUAGACACAUCAAAACCAAGACCAGAAGAGACCAGGAGUGAAUUAAUACAUACAGAAGAGUUGGAUAAUGUGCAGGAACAACGACUUUGAAUGGGUACUAUAUACAUUCCACUGAAAAAUGUGGUCUGUGUAAAGCAAGCUACAAAUUUAUCUUCGAUGAUCUGUACAGUUCAUUGUUUCCUUCCAUGGCUUAAGGAAACCAUAAACAUGUGAAUACGAGGUAUUUGUGAAAGACAAGAAGUAGAAAUUGCUCUUUGUCAUCAGUCACAGAUUUCUACUUUUCAUUUUUUUAAAUCAAGUUGGUGUACAAAUUAUGCUGUGAAGCCAAACACUAACCCUCUCUUUUAAUUAGUUACUAGAAAAGGGGGAUGGGGGGAAAUCUUUCUUUUUUCUUUUAACUUUCUCGCUAGAUGUAUGCAAAAGAUUUAUCAAAGGAAAAAGUUCAAAUUUGAAUUACCUUAUUUUUAGGAUGAAACAAUUAUUUCAAGUGGGAAAAAGACUGCUUUGAUCAGUUUGGAAGCUUUUCC
Thamnophis elegans (Western terrestrial garter snake) is the source of this 1783-nucleotide non-coding RNA. The record is from the annotation of a RefSeq genome assembly. Lineage: Eukaryota; Metazoa; Chordata; Lepidosauria; Squamata; Natricidae.